UCAUGUAGGUUGGUCAUGCCUCUGGUAUGUACUGGUCUCACUGAUUCCUCCUUCCUGAUGAACCGUAAUGCCAUUAAUUUGGUGUUGCGGGGAAUUUGGACUGUUACUUUGAAAAAAUUAGAGUGUUUAAAGCAAGCUAACGCUUGAAUACAUUAGCAUGGAAUAAUGAAAUAGGACGUUCGAUCCUAUUUUGUUGGUUUCUAGGAUUGACGUAAUGAUUAAUAGGGAUAGUUGGGGG
This 238-nucleotide ribosomal RNA is filed under the name uncultured Glomeromycotina. RNAcentral's name for it is "partial 18S ribosomal RNA". It matches the Rfam family "Eukaryotic small subunit ribosomal RNA", at positions 651 to 888 of the family's 1831-position model. Lineage: Eukaryota; Fungi; Glomeromycota. The record is from RNAcentral.